Molecule: small RNA, 79 nt
Filed under: Halpernia frigidisoli
Lineage: Bacteria; Pseudomonadati; Bacteroidota; Flavobacteriia; Flavobacteriales; Weeksellaceae
Description: Flavo-1 RNA
Rfam family: Flavo-1 RNA
Source: Rfam by way of RNAcentral
AUUUAGCCCGGAUUGAAGCGGCAUCCUUUUUCUUUUUUUUACAAAAAAGAAAAAGAUAUAGCGGAAAGCCGGUACCAAU